RNAcentral lists this transfer RNA (68 nucleotides) under Heterocephalus glaber (naked mole-rat). It matches the Rfam family "tRNA". From Rfam's summary of the family: Transfer RNA (tRNA) molecules are approximately 80 nucleotides in length. The record is from Rfam by way of RNAcentral. Lineage: Eukaryota; Metazoa; Chordata; Mammalia; Rodentia; Bathyergidae.
GGGGAUGUAGUUCAUUGGUAGAGUGCUUGCCUGGCAUGCAGGAGGUCCUGGUUCAAUCCCCAACUCUU